This is a long non-coding RNA of Dermochelys coriacea (leatherback sea turtle), 1482 nucleotides long. RefSeq lists it as uncharacterized. Lineage: Eukaryota; Metazoa; Chordata; Testudines; Dermochelyidae. The transcript has 3 exons. The record is from RefSeq and is a predicted model, not a curated record.
AACCUUAAAUAAGGCCCGAACGCUCCCUCAUGCCCGGGAGGGGUCUCAAGGAAUUUCUUUGGGAACCAACUCCGGGACACGGGCCCAAGAUCAGAACUGACAGACCUCAACACUCUGCCAUUGACACUGUGUAGAAACAGGAGUCCCCCAGAUGACCUGAUCCUGACUGGCCAUCAAGAACAUUUCAUCUCUCUUAUUGGGAGUGAUGAGCACUGAAACUCCAGUUGCUUCAGCUUUUCGACAGAGAUCUACAGUUCUCUUUAGAUCAUCAUGGAUUCUAAAAUUCCAAGGAAUGUAAUAAUUAUCCUCAUCAUCAAACAAUUAUCUCAACUGCAUGAAAUCCCAGCAUAAAGCAAAGUAAACAAGAAUUGAAGAAAGAACAUUAUUGUUGGAAGAUGAACAGAGCUUUUAUCAUAUAACACAUUAUUUUAAUAAAUUAAUAUCCCUUGAUUUAGUAUUGCCGUUAAUCAUGUCACUCAAAUUGAAAGGGUGUCCAAACUAUAUAACAAUUGCCAGAAACCCAUGAGGCUCUUAAAAAUAUAUAAUUUUGCGUAAUUUUGUACCAAAAAUGUAGUAGCUCACAUUAAUAUAGCACCUUUUUUUCUGAAAAAUCUCAAUCAACUUUAAAUCUUUAUUAACAGAAACUGCUGAUAUUCCUGUGUAGGUUUUGUAUGACUUCCUCCACCACUGAAAUGCAACAUGGCGACACAUCACAAUAUUUUAGAAGUCAAUGAAGUGAAGGAUAUCUUUUUCCAUCUGAAACUGGAGUGGCAAUUUAGGUAGGCAGAAUGACUCAAGUUGAAAUUUGAUAAGGAAUGUAAUCAAAUCUUUAAGCAAUAACAAUUUGUCAGGAUCUAUUUUUAAUGCCCCAUCUAACAGACAGCUUCUCCAGCUGGACUAUGCCAUUAAUACCAUACUAGAUCUAGUUCUAAACAGGUAGAAGGAAGAAUAUCACUAACUUACCAGCAUCAUUUCCUGUUCCCCCUAUGUUUCUUUGAGAACUCCCAUUCAAGUGGUAACUUGACCCAAGCUUGCUUAGCUUGGUUCAAAGCACUAGGUGAUAUGGUUAUAUAAACAAUACAAAACUAUUCAACUAGCUUGUGAUCAUUUUACCUUUCCUGAAUUCUGAGUUUUUAAAAAAUGUAUGACUUUUAUGUUGCUUUGGAUAUUAGUGUGUUCUUGUAAACCAAAGCACACUUGAGGACAUGUAGCACCAGAGAAACACUGACUGUAAUUUUGUAGGAUUACAUGUCUCCAAAUGUACUUUGGAUGAGAAAGAAAACAGAUCCUGACCAGCUGGGGUUGUUAAAGAUCUCAGGGUUGACCUACCCAAAAGCUGAAUGCAAAUCUCCACAGACCAUGCUUAUGGCACUUUUUCUGUAAAGGUAAUAUUAACCUAAAACAUUGCCUGUUUUGCCUGAUUAAAUAAUAAACAUGCUUUAUUGUCUUGAGACAUAGUAGUGGUCUAAACUUACCUUAUCU